This 73-nucleotide transfer RNA is filed under the name Stegodyphus mimosarum. It matches the Rfam family "tRNA". From Rfam's summary of the family: Transfer RNA (tRNA) molecules are approximately 80 nucleotides in length. Their secondary structure includes four short double-helical elements and three loops (D, anti-codon, and T loops). Further hydrogen bonds mediate the characteristic L-shaped molecular structure. tRNAs have two regions of fundamental functional importance: the anti-codon, which is responsible for specific mRNA codon recognition, and the 3' end, to which the tRNAs corresponding amino acid is attached (by aminoacyl-tRNA synthetases). tRNAs cope with the degeneracy of the genetic code in two manners: having more than one tRNA (with a specific anti-codon) for a particular amino acid; and 'wobble' base-pairing, i.e. permitting non-standard base-pairing at the 3rd anti-codon position. Lineage: Eukaryota; Metazoa; Arthropoda; Arachnida; Araneae; Eresidae. The record is from Rfam by way of RNAcentral.
ACCUUCGUGGUGUAGUGGUCAGCACGCUCGACGCGUAACCGAGAGGUCCGUGGUUCGAUUCCUGGCGAAGGCG